Long non-coding RNA from Brassica rapa (field mustard), 5089 nucleotides. RefSeq lists it as uncharacterized. NCBI's taxonomy places the organism in Eukaryota, Viridiplantae, Streptophyta, Magnoliopsida, Brassicales, Brassicaceae. The record is from RefSeq and is a predicted model, not a curated record.
UAAGAUGAUUUAUACAAAUGAUCCAUCUGAUGUAGUUUGACUAUGCUUGUUUCUCUAUCAAGAUAGAACAUAUAGAUGAAUGGAUGAACUUAUGUUUGUUUACGCAUCUCUAUUUCAAUUUAGAUGAGUUUAAUAAAUAAAUAAUUUAUAUAUCUUUGUUUUAAAUUAAAUAUUAUAAGCUUAUGUUUAAUUAUAUUAUGGUUUUACGGUUUUGACGAAAAAUUGAAAUUUUACAAUUUAGAGGGAAAAGUGUAUUUUUAUGGUUUUGACGGAAAAUCAGGGUUUUAUGUUUUUGGCGGAUAAGCUAGCAUGCAGUGUUAGAAAGCAACAGUUUUUCGUCGUUCACAUGGAUCAUAUUUUUCGGUUUGGUUCACAGAGUCAGUAUGAAUCUCAAUAAGUUGAUGAAACAAUAUGUUUUUGGCGGAAAAUUAGUUAUACGAUUUUGACGGAAAAUUACGUUUUUGCACUUUUGGCGGGAAAUUACGUUUUUCCGGAUUUGACCGAAAAUUAAGAUUUUCCGGUUUUGGCGGGAAAGUGCAUUUCUGCAGCCUUAACAAAUAUUUGCAUUUUCCCGGUUUUGGCGGAAAAUUGUGUGUGUUUCUUGUUUUGGCGAAAGAUUGCAUUUUUUCUAGUUUUUGCAAGAAAUUACGUCUUUUUCGAUUUGACGGGAAAUUGUGUUUUUCAGUUUUGGCGAGAAAUUAUAUUUUUCAAUUUUGACAGAAAAUUUGUUUGUUUUUUUUCUCGUUUUGGCGGAAACAUGCGUUUUUAUGGUUUUAGCGGGAAAAUGCAUUUUUACGGUUUUCGUGAAAAAUUAUGUUUUUUUCCGACUUUGGAAGGAAGGUGCGUUUUUUUGGUUUUGGCGAAAAAUUGUGUUUUUCUAGUUUUAGCGGGAAAUUGUGAUUUUCUCGUUUUAGCGAGAAAUUGUGUUGUCUGGUUUUAGCGGAAAAUUGUGUUUUCCUCGUUUUAGCGGGAAAUUGCGUUUUUCCAUAUUUGACGGGAAAGUCUGCAUUCCGGUUUUGACGGGAAAUAAUGUUUUUCCGGUUUUGGCGAAAAAUGUGUCUUUGAGAUUUUGGCAAAAAAGUACAUUUUUACGGGUUUGACGGGGAAAUGCAUUUUUACGGUUAUGGGAGAAAUUGCAUUUUUCCAGUUUUUGCGAGAAAUUGUGGUUUUCUGUUUUGAUAGGAAAUUACGUUUUCUCGGUUUUGAAGGAAAAAAUUGUUUUUCGAUUUUGACGCAAAAUUAUGUUUUUAAGAAAAAUGCGCGUUUUACAGUUUUGAUGGGAAAUUACGUUUUUCUGGUUUUGGAAGAAAAUUGUAUUUUUCUGUUUUGGUGGGAAACUUCCUUAUUACAUUUUUUGUAGAAAAGCUUGUUUUACGGUUUUGGCAAAAAAUGAAUUUUUAUGGUUUUGGCAGAAAAGAGUGUUUUUGCGGUUUUGGCGGGAAAGUUCUUUUUUACGAUUUUAGUGGGAAAUUGUGUUUUUUCUGUUUUGACAUGAAAGUGUAUUUUAUCCGGUUUUGGUAGAAAACUGUGUUUAUGAUUUUGACGAGAAAUUUAUUUUUUGGUGAGGACUCACUCAUCCAAAUGCUCGGUGAAGAAUCACCCUCAAUUGAAUGAGAAUUUGAUGUGAGUUUUCACAAAUGUAGUUGGGUGAUCCAUAUGGAUGUAACAUUUUAAUGCACAAAACAAACAUCGAUUUGCAUCUUCACCCAGAUAGAUCACUUAGAUGAGCAAACGAACAGCACCGUAGAGGUUAUGACGACGCUGACAAAACUGAAGAUGAAUGGCAGUGUAACAUCCCGAUUUAUGAUAUAAAGGCUUAAGAAGAUUGAUUUUGCUAUGUCACAAAAGUUGACUUACUUUUUUUUGUUACACAUCCAUUUGGAACUCUAGAGUUAAGUGUGAUUGAACUGGAGUAGUGGAAGGAUGAAUGACCUAUCGUAAAGUGAUCCGUGAUAUUGUGUGAGUUAGACCAAAGUGCGGAGAAAGGUCAUGUGAUGAUUACAAGAUCAGUAAACAAUGAUUCCGAGCUUUGAAAAAUUUAUGCACCGACCGUUGGAACAGGAUAAGGCCCACGGGCGGAGUGAGUGGGUGUGGGUGGUCCAUUAGGUGUGGACGGUCAGAACGUUAUAAGUGACAUCAGAGUCGGGUUAGCUAUUGUGUGAGUGAGACCAAAGUACGGAGAAAGGUAAUAUGGUGAUUGCAGGCCAGUAAACAAUGAAUUUGAACUUUGAAAAAUUUGUGCACUGACCGUUGGACAAGAUGGGACCACAUACCGAGUGAGCAGGGUUGGGCGGUCCAUUGGUCGUGGACAGUCGGAGCGUUAUAAGUAGUAUCAAAGCCAUGUUAGCCAUCGUAUGAGUGAUGCCAAAGUACAUGAAAAUGAUUUCGAAUCUUAAAAAAUCUUAUGUACCGACUGUUGGAACGGGAUGAAACCGAGAGAACGGACAUGGAUGACCUAUUAGUCGUGGACGGUAGGGACUAUAGGCAGAGAGACAGACAAGCAGUUUAACUCUCUUUCUUUCUCUCUCUUUUUUCUCUUUAAAUUUAUGUUUUAAUAUUCUUUUUGUUUCGGUAUAUAUAAUAAGGGAUAUACUUCUUCUUUUUUUCCGAUUGUUGAAAUAUAUACUUCAGUAGCAGAUUGUGACGUAUGACAUAUCCAACAUUGCAUAAAAACAAACGAGGAAGAAAAUAUUGAAGGAAACUACACAUAAGUUUUAUUUUACCCAUUUUUAUUGCCAAAGCAAUCAUAAAUUUUUAGAUAUGUUUGUUUUUUUUCAUUGUCUUUGCAUUCAUUUUCCUGACGUAUACCGCACAACUUUUAGAAUCAUGUACCAGGAUAUCUUUUUUUAUUAUUCAUUUAUUUAUUGGUACGAAAGUGAUGGCUUGUAAUAAUACCUGGAAGUUGAAUAAGAUUUGACGAAAAAUUGUACUGCGUCAAAAUGUUUAAGCGAUAAAAGAAAAUUAUGGAGUAGCAAACUUGAGCCAAAGCCCUUUACUCCAUUCAACCUCCGGAUUAGAUACUCUAAUCAAUACCCAAUAAGAUUUUGAUCAAAAUUGUACUGCGGUCAAAAUGUUUAAGAAUUAUGUUUAAGAUUGCUAGUUGAUUUUAAGGUUAUGAUAUUAAAAGGUAGCUUUUCGAAGAUCAAUAGAAAUUUGUAAGAUGUUAGGGUACUAAGUGGUUAAAUAGAAUAUGAAAUGAAUAACUCCAUUGACUAUAACCAAUUGUGAGGCGUCACUAUAAAUGUUUUAUUUAUGGAACAUCAUACAAAAUAUGUAUGCUGAAAAGAACACACAUACACAUAUAUACUAUACAGUGAAACCUUUAUAAAUUAAUAAUUUUGAGACUACACCAAAACUAUAAUUUUUUAUUAAUUUAUAAAAAUAUUAAUUUAUCAAUAUACUAAUUAUACCAAAAAAAUUCAAUUUAAAACUAUAAAAUUAUAUUAUUUUAUAGAGAUUUUUAGUGUAUAUUAAUUUAUAGAGUAUUAGUUUAAAGAAGUUAUACUGUAUAUAUAUCUUUAAGUAUUUUUUAAUUUAUAUGACUUCUGUAGACGCACGCACGUACGUUUGAUACUGUGAAUAAGUUCUUUUUAGGGGUCAAAAUGUUAAAAACAUUUCCAAAUUCUACAUUAUUAUUAAUAGUUUUAUUAAUACGAAAAUAUACUAAUCUUGUAGUGAAUUUCUGAUACUAUGAAGAAGUUGACCCCAAAAACAAAUAAUUUUUAAAAAUACUAAACUUGAGUCUUUUGGUAUUUUUAAUCACUUUAAAAUCAAUGCUGCAUUAUCGACCGAAAACAACAAUGAAUAAUGCAUUAUUAUUGAUUGACUGAAGACAUGGUUCUGUCAUGCCAAUUUUCAAGUUUAAUAAGUUCGAAUAUUUCGACAGUUGAAAAUUAUAUUGAUAAAAACGUUUAUCCUACUGAAAAUAGUUGGCAGAAUAGAGUAGUAACUAACCUACAAACUUUGUCAUUCAGCCCACGAUUAUGACAGGCGACGCAUAUUCCACAUAAGAUCCAUUUCUAUAAAGUCAUUACAUAACAUCCAUAUGUAUCAAUUUAAAUGAUUGAGACAGUUUGAAAAUAAAGAGAAUAAUCUAGCUGUUCAGUUUUGUACUACCAAUAAUAAGGUCAAAAUACAUAUGGAUGGUAUGUAUCGAGUGUACAGACUUUUGUCUCAAUCAUACAGUUUUCUUUAUUCUUCCUUUAGAUUGUUAACAAAUCUUAUUAUCUCUAAAAUUCGUUCAUAUGUUCGCUUCCAAACAAAAUCAAAGACUAACAAGAACCAAACAAAAACCGAUUUGGCUAAUAUGAGUACCUAACAAGUUGGCCACUUCUCUACUGCUCUAAAAUUAUUUUUCUCAUUAUUAUUAUGGCACAAGAUCGGCUAAAUAUGUCAUUUUAACGUAUCAAGUUAAUAGUUUCUCUUGUCAAAAGGAUUAUGUUAUACAAGAGUUAAUUGCUUGAUAUAUAUGCUGUAUUAAAACCAGUAAUUUACUAGUUGCAAAGAAGCUAGGAUUACAAUUCUCAAAUGUUGGUAGACUUCUACUUGCUAAGGCCAUUAAAUCAAUGUUAUACCCACUUAUAGAUACGGCACUCUUUCAAAACCACAUCAUAUGAUUAUCUCUUCUUUUGUAGCCAAGUUAUAAACGGUACAAUAAGAACCAGCCUGGUGCAGAUUACUAUAUAAUUCAUAGCCAGUUCGAUGAAUUUAAAAUAAUACUGAACGCAGUGCCACAAAGUUAGCUUUUGGGUUUGUCCUUAAAACACACCAUUGACAAACCUAAGCGUCUGAACUAGUCAUGUUCAUUACUCAGCUAUUGCCGGUUAUGGUUAUGAAGCUACUUCUGUCUCUUCAUCUUUGUUUUUGGGUUUCUGAAAACCAUCAUCCUAAAUCCUACCCAUUCUCCAUAGAAACUCAUGUCGGCAAAGCUCGAAACAGAUAUGCAUUCAUUCGCCAUCUAAUCUCACAUAUGUUUCUUUCUUCCUUGUUUGAUCCAAAAAUGGUGUUUAUGCUGGUGGUUUUGGUUGAAUCAAUACAAUAAAAGAAUCUAAGAAUGAGAAUUAGAUUCUUGAGGUUUAGGAGAAAUCUU